UUAAUGCAUGCUGAUAAGUGCAGGAGGCCUCUCCUCUUACACCCCGAGCGUUCUGCGAACAAUGGACAACUUCGAGCCAGGCAUGUUUCGGCCAGUGGCCCCUAGUCUGUCGGACAAAGAGGAAGAAAAAAACAGGAAUAAUACCGAAGAAGAGGAGAACACACAAGUCCUGGAGGAACCGGAGGAAGAUCAGGAAAUGCUAAAACCUGCAGAUCCUGACGUCAUUUCAUCCUGGUCUUUGUCGGCCGGAACUUCCGAUUUGCUGUUCUGAAGUUUUGCUCUAAGGUCUUCUCCGUCGAAGAUCCGGAAUAAUCCUGUGACGUCACCGGGUCACCGAAAUCUUGGCCGGAUGAUUCCGACACCGAGUGGAAUGAAGCCAACAUUUUGUGUGUGUGACAUUCCGUUACGGUUCCAAUGGCUGAUCGCUGCGCCUGCAGUCACCAUUUCAUACACAAAUCAUCGCAUUGUACAUUAUGGGCUAGGAUGCCCUUCUUUGCUUUGUAAUAAAACUUUCUUACAUUCUUA
Molecule: long non-coding RNA, 525 nt
Organism: Stegodyphus dumicola
Lineage: Eukaryota; Metazoa; Arthropoda; Arachnida; Araneae; Eresidae
Source: RefSeq, a predicted model, not a curated record